AUUCCAGCUCCAAUAGCGUAUAUUAAAGUUGUUGCAGUUAAAAAGCUCGUAGUUGGAUUUCUGGUGGGAGCGAUCGGUCUGGCGCUUAGCGCGAGUACUUGCAUCGUCUCCGGCCAUCCUUGGGGAGAGUUUGUCUGGCAUUAAGUUGUCGGGCAGAGGAUCCUCAUCGUUUACUGUGAAAAAAUUAGAGUGUUCAAAGCAGGCUUAUGCCGUUGAAUAUAUUAGCAUGGAAUAAUAAGAUAGGACUUUGGUACUAUUUUGUUGGUUUGCGCACCAAAGUAAUGAUUAAUAGGGACAGUUGGGGGUAUUCGUAUUCCGUUGUCAGAGGUGAAAUUCUUGGACUUGUUAAAGACUAACUUAUGCGAAAGCAUUUGCCAAGGAUGUUUUCAUUA
This 392-nucleotide ribosomal RNA is filed under the name Arcocellulus sp. RNAcentral describes it as "partial small subunit ribosomal RNA". It matches the Rfam family "Eukaryotic small subunit ribosomal RNA", at positions 582 to 975 of the family's 1831-position model. The record is from RNAcentral. Lineage: Eukaryota; Bacillariophyta; Thalassiosirophyceae; Cymatosirales; Cymatosiraceae.